GGACCCGUAGUUCAGUGGACAGAAUACACGGCUCCGGACCGUGUGGUCGGCGGUUCAAAUCCGUCCGGGUCCGCCA
Molecule: transfer RNA, 76 nt
Filed under: Candidatus Heimdallarchaeota archaeon
Lineage: Archaea; Promethearchaeati; Candidatus Heimdallarchaeota
Description: tRNA-Arg
Rfam family: tRNA
About the family: Transfer RNA (tRNA) molecules are approximately 80 nucleotides in length. Their secondary structure includes four short double-helical elements and three loops (D, anti-codon, and T loops).
Source: RNAcentral